GGAUGAAUAUUGGUCAAUGGUCGGGAGACUGAACCAGCCAAGCCGCGUGAGGGAUGAAGGUACAGAGUAUCGUAAACCUCUUUUGUCAGGGAACAAAAGGCGCCACGCGUGGCGCUCCGAGUGUACCUGAAGAAAAAGCAUCGGCUAACUCCGUGCCAGCAGCCGCGGUAAUACGGAGGAUGCGAGCGUUAUCCGGAUUUAUUGGGUUUAAAGGGUGCGUAGGGCGGCGAGUUAAGUCAGCGGUAAAAGCCCGGGGCUCAAACCCCGGCCCGCCGUUGAAACUGGCUUGCUUGAGUUGGAGAGAAGUAGGCGGAAUGCGCGGUGUAGCGGUGAAAUGCUUAGAUAUCGCGCAGAACUCCGAUUGCGAAGGCAGCCUACCGGCUCCAGACUGACGCUGAGGCACGAAAGCGUGGGUAUCGAACAGGAUUAGAUACC
RNAcentral lists this ribosomal RNA (435 nucleotides) under uncultured bacterium. RNAcentral's name for it is "bacterial SSU rRNA". It matches the Rfam family "Bacterial small subunit ribosomal RNA", at positions 355 to 786 of the family's 1533-position model. The record is from RNAcentral.